This 117-nucleotide ribosomal RNA is filed under the name uncultured bacterium. RNAcentral's name for it is "partial 16S ribosomal RNA". The record is from RNAcentral.
GUGAGGGAAGGAAAGGUAACGAGCGUAUCCGUAAAACCUCUUUUGUCAGGGAACAAAGGCGGGGACUAGUCCCCGGAUGAGGGUACCUGAAGAAAAAGCAUCGGCUAACUCCGUGCC